UUAACCUUUCACAUUAUUUACAAUUUAAUCCCUAGGCUCGUAAAAGGAUAUACAUGCAAUUCCUUGAUUACCCAAGCCUAGUCAAAUGCAUUAUAAACUCAUACUAUCCCACAUUUUCCUCUACUUCACAUUUCUAUCACAUAUUUUGUACCUUUUGCAAAAUGGUCCCUUUAGGGGCUUUUCAUGAAAAUUACUUGGGAAAAGAUGUUUAACACACAUCUAACUAUCAUAUUCUCCCAUAAAACAUUAAAGAACAAACAUGUCACACAUGGGUCACUUUGC
This 282-nucleotide long non-coding RNA is filed under the name Gossypium barbadense (sea-island cotton). RNAcentral's name for it is "long non-coding RNA (GBAR_LNC007094)". The record is from RNAcentral. Lineage: Eukaryota; Viridiplantae; Streptophyta; Magnoliopsida; Malvales; Malvaceae.